GCCGGGAUGACGGAAUGGCAGACGUGCUAGAUUUAGAAUCUAGUGUCCCAGUGGCGUGUGGGUUCAAGUCCCACUCUCGGCA
Molecule: transfer RNA, 82 nt
Filed under: Bacillus thuringiensis
Lineage: Bacteria; Bacillati; Bacillota; Bacilli; Caryophanales; Bacillaceae
Description: tRNA-Leu
Rfam family: tRNA
About the family: Transfer RNA (tRNA) molecules are approximately 80 nucleotides in length. Their secondary structure includes four short double-helical elements and three loops (D, anti-codon, and T loops).
Source: RNAcentral